RNAcentral lists this long non-coding RNA (303 nucleotides) under Salvia miltiorrhiza (redroot sage). RNAcentral describes it as "long non-coding RNA (SMIL_LNC003888)". The record is from RNAcentral. Lineage: Eukaryota; Viridiplantae; Streptophyta; Magnoliopsida; Lamiales; Lamiaceae.
CGGGAGGAGUUCAACCGGCAGGCGACCUUUGAGGCGUGGCAGCGGGCUGAGAUGGCGAGACAGCAGCAAGAAUAUGCGAGGCAGAUGGCUAUGCAGGAGGAACUCCUACGACAGUUUCAGGAGUUCCAGAGGCGACAGGGAGGACCGCCAUCUUGAGUGAUUUGUAAGUAUGCUAACCAUAACUUUUAUCUAUUUUUCCCUCCAAACUUAUUUUCGAGCAUUCGCUCCUUAAUAAGUUUGGGGGAGGGGGAUGGAGAUUAGUUAUGGUUUGCAUUUUUAGCCUAGCAUAUUUUUUGUAUCUUU